This is a long non-coding RNA of Macrobrachium nipponense, 891 nucleotides long. RefSeq lists it as uncharacterized. The transcript has 3 exons. NCBI's taxonomy places the organism in Eukaryota, Metazoa, Arthropoda, Malacostraca, Decapoda, Palaemonidae. The record is from RefSeq and is a predicted model, not a curated record.
UCAAGGUGGUAGACGUUCAAUUGGAGUUUGCCAAAUUAUCCUUUUUUUCCGCAUGAGAGUCGUAUUUCACUCCUCCUUAAUUUUUCGUGGCGGAAUUCAUUUGUUGUGGUGUUUUUACGAAAAAGUUUAUUACGCGAUCAGUCUAUGGCAGUUGCGGUUUUCUUUGCAGUUUUACUUCCUGAGCAAGAAUUUUAAGUAAUAUUUAUUCGAACGACGGUAAUUAACCACCGGGGCCCAGUACCAAAUACGGCGAAAUACAUUGGACGCCCCAAUCCCUAGUGGAUGUCGUAUUCGCGGUUACGUUCCUUGCAGUCCGUGCGGAACUAUUCUGUAGAAUUACCCUUUAAGGAUGUUAUUGGUAACAAUUUGACAUUGCCACUUUUCUAACGGUAAAGCCUACUCGUGAUAAAGCUGCUCUCUUCAGCAACAGGUGCGGGUAAAUCAAGAAUUGUGGUUGUGAAGUAAAAGCGUGCAGAGCGUUUUUUCAGGGGAUGGUUAAGGGGGACCCAUCGGAAAUUGUAUUCUCAACAGGGGAGCACUUAUACAGCAUCAAUGUAAAUAGAGUAAAAUAGAAUAUUGUCCUCUUUUCUAUGAAGCCAAAGCCUCGACAUCACAAGAGACCGCCAGCAUUGAUUGGGAUUAUGUUCCCUAUAAGAUGAGCCGUUGACUGGACUGAACUUUUAUCACGAAGUAUUCGUCAGUGGUGACAACGGAAUAGUAGUGUUCCCACAAUUCCAUUAGGAGGAUGGCUUGGAUAUACCGCUAUCGUACUGCAUAUUGGAAUCGGGGGAACCAUUUUGGCUAUGUGAUACUGAUUUAGAAGGUGAAAGAAUGCUAAUUUUAGCCUGGUCAGCAGGGCUGGAUGAUCUUGUUAAAAUUCGUGAAGGGCUA